This 253-nucleotide ribosomal RNA is filed under the name uncultured bacterium. RNAcentral's name for it is "partial 16S ribosomal RNA". It matches the Rfam family "Bacterial small subunit ribosomal RNA", at positions 524 to 776 of the family's 1533-position model. The record is from RNAcentral.
UACGGAGGGGGCUAGCGUUAUUCGGAAUUAUUGGGCGUAAAGGGCGCGUAGGCGGCCCGGUAAGUCAAAGGUGAAAUCCCUCGGCUCAACUGAGGAACUGCCUUUGAAACUGUCGGGCUUGAGGCCGGGAGGGGGUAGCGGAAUUCCCAGUGUAGCGGUGAAAUGCGUAGAUAUUGGGAAGAACACCGGUGGCGCAAGCGACUUGCUGGGCCAUUACUGACGCUGAGGAACGAAAGCUAGGGGAGCGAAUGGG